This 447-nucleotide ribosomal RNA is filed under the name uncultured bacterium. RNAcentral describes it as "partial 16S ribosomal RNA". It matches the Rfam family "Bacterial small subunit ribosomal RNA", at positions 29 to 523 of the family's 1533-position model. The record is from RNAcentral.
AAUGAACGCUGGCGGCAGGCCUAACACAUGCAAGUCGAGCGCCCCGCAAGGGGAGCGGCAAACGGGUGAGGAACACGUGGGAAUCUACCAAAUAGUUCGGAAUAGCCUCGGGAAACUGGGAGUAAUACCGGAUACGCUCUACGGAGGAAAGAUUUAUCGCUAUUUGAUGAGCCCGCGUCUGAUUAGCUAGUUGGUGAGGUAAUGGCUCACCAAGGCGACGAUCAGUAGCUGGUUUGAGAGGAUGAUCAGCCACACUGGGACUGAAAUACGGCCCAGACUCCUACGGGAGGCAGCAGUGAGGAAUAUUGGACAAUGGGCGAAAGCCUGAUCCAGCCAUGCCGCGUGUGUGAUGAUGGCCUUCGGGUUGUAAAGCACUUUGAGUGGGGAAGAUAAUGACGGUACCCACAAAACAAGCCCCGGCUAACUCCGUGCCAGCCGCCGCAGUAA